GAUUUACUGGGCGUAAAGGGCGCGUAGGCGGCCACCGCAAGUCGAUUGUGAAAUCUCCGGGCUUAACCCGGAAAGGUCAACCGAUACUGCGGGGCUAGAGUGCAGAAGGGGCAACUGGAAUUCUCGGUGUAGCGGUGAAAUGCGUAGAUAUCGAGAGGAACACCUGCGGCGAAGGCGGGUUGCUGGGCUGACACUGACGCUGAAGUGCGAAAGCUAGGGGAGCGAACGGGAUUAGAUACCCCGGUAGUCCUAGCCUUAAACGAUGAAUGCUUGGUGUCUGGGGUUUUAUAGUCCCCGGGUGCCGUCGCUAACGCUUUAAGCAUUCCGCCUGGGGAGUACGGUCGCAAGACUGAAACUCAAAGGAAUUGACGGGGACCCGCACAAGCGGUGGAGCAUGUGGUUUAAUUCGACGCAACGCGAAGAACCUUACCUGGGCUAGAAUGCCUCUGACCGGCGUAGAGAUACGCCUUCCUGGGUAAAACCAGGCAGAGUGCAAGGUGCUGCAUGGCU
This 510-nucleotide ribosomal RNA is filed under the name uncultured Acidobacteriota bacterium. RNAcentral describes it as "bacterial SSU rRNA". It matches the Rfam family "Bacterial small subunit ribosomal RNA", at positions 548 to 1050 of the family's 1533-position model. The record is from RNAcentral. Lineage: Bacteria; Pseudomonadati; Acidobacteriota.